GACGAACGCUGGCGGCGUGCCUAAUACAUGCAAGUCGAACGCACAGUUUAUACCGUAGCUUGCUACACCAUAGACUGUGAGUUGCGAACGGGUGAGUAACGCGUAGGUAACCUGCCUGGUAGCGGGGGAUAACUAUUGGAAACGAUAGCUAAUACCGCAUAAUAUUAAUUAUUGCAUGAUAAUUAAUUGAAAGGUGCAAUUGCACCACUACCAGAUGGACCUGCGUUGUAUUAGCUAGUAGGUGAGGUAACGGCUCACCUAGGCGACGAUACGUAGCCGACCUGAGAGGGUGAUCGGCCACACUGGGACUGAGACACGGCCCAGACUCCUACGGGAGGCAGCAGUAGGGAAUCUUCGGCAAUGGACGAAAGUCUGACCGAGCAACGCCGCGUGAGUGAAGAAGGUUUUCGGAUCGUAAAGCUCUGUUGUAAGAGAAGAACGGGUGUGAGAGUGGAAAGUUCACACUGUGACGGUAUCUUACCAGAAAGGGACGGCUAACUACGUG
Molecule: ribosomal RNA, 505 nt
Filed under: uncultured bacterium
Lineage: Bacteria
Description: partial 16S ribosomal RNA
Rfam family: Bacterial small subunit ribosomal RNA
Source: RNAcentral